CUCAGAGCACGGUGCGGACGGGAGCUCCCUGUGCGGGCUCCGCAGGGGAUGCUCAGCUCGGGAUGCGGCGGCAGCGUCGGUCGGAGCGCUGUGCGGAGAGCCGGAUCGGGGGCUGCUGCUGCUCCUACCCGAGCUCCAAAGCGCUCGGGUGGGACCAGGAUCUGGGCCCGAGGACUCAGGUCCUGAUCCUGCCGGUAUUUCCUGUGGGAGCUGGGCCGAGCCACUUCUACCUGGGCGGGCAGGGUGCGGGUGCUGGGGCUGGAGGAUCAAGGUGGGAUUGGGGAUGCGAUCGGCACCGGCAUCGCCGCAUUCGGAAAGAACCACUCCGGGAGAGGCGCUACAGCUCCGGCUGCAGCCGGCGGAGGGCUGGAUCCCGCCGGGACUCCGGGCAUGCUCCGGCAGGAAGGAACCGGUGCUAUGCCGGUGUUGUGCCAGUGCCAUGCCCGCCAGGAGGAUGAGGCUUCCUGGGAGCAGCCUCUGGAUCGCGCUGGAAGCGGGAAGGACACGGACAACGCCCGUACCGGCCCCAGGACCCCAUCGGUAUCGCCGCCCGCCCCGCGGGGCGCCCCCUGGCGGACACGGCGCCGCCCCGCAGCCCCCCGGCCCGGUAACCCCACGAGCCCCGCACUCCCCUACGAGCCGCAGCGCCCCAGCCCCUUCUCCGUGCCCGCACCCCCGGGGCUGCAGCGCCCCGGCCGGGAGCAGCCGCUCUGGGACGGCCGCUGGGGCCGAGGCGUUGCUGCUCCCGCUCCCAUUGUGCCUGGUGUGGGACUGGAGCCACAGGGAAACACGAGGGAAAACCCCCCAGUGUUAAAAACCAGUGACAACUGUUUGUUCUUUAUUUCCAGAGCCGUGAGGAUCACCAAAUCAAAUGCUGAGAAGUGACCGGCCCAGCUGCACAUCAAACACAGAAUUUUGGUCCUCUCAGCACCCUGCUCCAAACACCUGAGCCAAUCCCAGGGCUGUUCCAAAGGUCCUGCAUGGGAUGGGAAUGACUGCUGCCAGUAAGAGACUUCCUCUGCAAAUGCAGCUCCUUCCCUUCUGCUAAUGCUGCUUUACACACCAGCCCCUGCAAUGGCUGUAGGGAAGAACUGGCUGGCACUCAACAUGUCAGCACCAAACUCUUCCCCAUAACCCUGAUUUUUCUGCCCUUCCCAGGAUUUACCCAGCAGCUGUAAAUGUGCUCACACAAUGUCCCUUUGUUUCCCCAGGAAGAAGGGAACCAGACAAUUCCUGAGGGUUCCUCUGGAGAGUGGCAGGGGCGUUUCCUGCAGGGUGUCCCAGCUGGCUGGGAGCGCAGGGCAGGAGGAGCCAGAAGCUCCUGAAGGCAAGCAGCCCCUCGUGUCUGUGGGAUCUGCAGGAGGAGCUGUGCCUGCACCGUGGCUCCUGGGCCAGGGGCUGCUCUGAGCAGGC
Long non-coding RNA from Zonotrichia leucophrys gambelii, 1413 nucleotides. RefSeq lists it as uncharacterized. NCBI's taxonomy places the organism in Eukaryota, Metazoa, Chordata, Aves, Passeriformes, Passerellidae. The record is from RefSeq and is a predicted model, not a curated record. The transcript has 3 exons.